GCCUUCAUGGUGUAGUGAUCAGCACGCUCGACGCGAAACCGAGAGGUUCGUGGUUCGAUUCCCCGCGAAGCCG
Molecule: transfer RNA, 73 nt
Filed under: Stegodyphus mimosarum
Lineage: Eukaryota; Metazoa; Arthropoda; Arachnida; Araneae; Eresidae
Rfam family: tRNA
About the family: Transfer RNA (tRNA) molecules are approximately 80 nucleotides in length. Their secondary structure includes four short double-helical elements and three loops (D, anti-codon, and T loops). Further hydrogen bonds mediate the characteristic L-shaped molecular structure. tRNAs have two regions of fundamental functional importance: the anti-codon, which is responsible for specific mRNA codon recognition, and the 3' end, to which the tRNAs corresponding amino acid is attached (by aminoacyl-tRNA synthetases). tRNAs cope with the degeneracy of the genetic code in two manners: having more than one tRNA (with a specific anti-codon) for a particular amino acid; and 'wobble' base-pairing, i.e. permitting non-standard base-pairing at the 3rd anti-codon position.
Source: Rfam by way of RNAcentral